GAGUUUGAUUCAUGGCUCAGGACGAACGCUGGCGGCGUGCUUAACACAUGCAAGUCGAACGAAGAGCGAUGGAAGCUUGCUUCUAUCAAUCUUAGUGGCGAACGGGUGAGUAACGCGUAAUCAACCUGCCCUUCAGAGGGGGACAACAGUUGGAAACGACUGCUAAUACCGCAUACGAUCUAAUCUCGGCAUCGAGGAUAGAUGAAAGGUGGCCUCUACAUGUAAGCUAUCACUGAAGGAGGGGAUUGCGUCUGAUUAGCUAGUUGGAGGGGUAACGGCCCACCAAGGCGAUGAUCAGUAGCCGGUCUGAGAGGAUGAACGGCCACAUUGGGACUGAGACACGGCCCAGACUCCUACGGGAGGCAGCAGUGGGGAAUAUUGCACAAUGGGCGCAAGCCUGAUGCAGCGACGCCGCGUGAGGGAUGACGGCCUUCGGGUUGUAAACCUCUGUUAGCAUCGAAGAAGCGAAAGUGACGGUAGGUGCAGAGAAAGCGCCGGCUAACUACGUGCCAGCAGCCGCGGUAAUACGUAGGGCGCGAGCGUUGUCCGGAAUUAUUGGGCGUAAAGAGCUUGUAGGCGGUUGGUCGCGUCUGCUGUGAAAGGCUGGGGCUUAACCCUGGUUUUGCAGUGGGUACGGGCUAACUAGAGUGCAGUAGGGGAGACUGGAAUUCCUGGUGUAGCGGUGGAAUGCGCAGAUAUCAGGAGGAACACCGAUGGCGAAGGCAGGUCUCUGGGCUGUAACUGACGCUGAGAAGCGAAAGCAUGGGGAGCGAACAGGAUUAGAUACCCUGGUAGUCCAUGCCGUAAACGUUGGGCACUAGGUGUGGGGGACAUUCCACGUUUUCCGCGCCGUAGCCAACGCAUUAAGUGCCCCGCCUGGGGAGUACGGCCGCAAGGCUAAAACUCAAAGAAAUUGACGGGGGCCCGCACAAGCGGCGGAGCAUGCGGAUUAAUUCGAUGCAACGCGAAGAACCUUACCAAGGCUUGACAUAUACUGGACUGCGUCAGAGAUGGCGUUUCCCUUCGGGGCUGGUAUACAGGUGGUGCAUGGUUGUCGUCAGCUCGUGUCGUGAGAUGUUGGGUUAAGUCCCGCAACGAGCGCAACCCUCGUUCUAUGUUGCCAGCACGUGAUGGUGGGGACUCAUAGGAGACUGCCGGGGUCAACUCGGAGGAAGGUGGGGAUGACGUCAAAUCAUCAUGCCCCUUAUGUCUUGGGCUUCACGCAUGCUACAAUGGCCGGUACAGAGGGUUGCGAUACUGUGAGGUGGAGCUAAUCCCCAAAAGCCGGUCUCAGUUCGGAUUGGGGUCUGCAACUCGACCCCAUGAAGUCGGAGUCGCUAGUAAUCGCAGAUCAGCAACGCUGCGGUGAAUACGUUCCCGGGCCUUGCACACACCGCCCGUC
RNAcentral lists this ribosomal RNA (1402 nucleotides) under uncultured bacterium. RNAcentral's name for it is "bacterial SSU rRNA". It matches the Rfam family "Bacterial small subunit ribosomal RNA". The record is from RNAcentral.